This is a long non-coding RNA of Arabidopsis thaliana (thale cress), 221 nucleotides long. RefSeq annotates it as other RNA. The record is from RefSeq. NCBI's taxonomy places the organism in Eukaryota, Viridiplantae, Streptophyta, Magnoliopsida, Brassicales, Brassicaceae. The transcript has a single exon.
CAACUGUAUCUUCUUCUUUUUUCUCUUUUUCCGACCACCACCACGUUUCCUCCGCCAAAUUUUUUAGAUUUGUUUCUGUUAUAUUCUCCACCGGAUUCUUUUGUUUCGACUACGUUCACAAAAACUAAACCCUAAAGGAUAGUGCACAUAGGGAACCCAAGGAGAAAAUCAAACGGAUUGAGAGUAUUAAUCUUCUUCCUCUCUUUUUUCUGUCAAAUUGU